Molecule: ribosomal RNA, 244 nt
Filed under: Clostridioides difficile
Lineage: Bacteria; Bacillati; Bacillota; Clostridia; Peptostreptococcales; Peptostreptococcaceae
Description: partial 23S ribosomal RNA
Rfam family: Bacterial large subunit ribosomal RNA
Source: RNAcentral
AACAGGCUUAUCUCCCCCAAGAGUCCACAUCGACGGGGAGGUUUGGCACCUCGAUGUCGGCUCAUCACAUCCUGGGGCUGUAGUAGGUCCCAAGGGUUGGGCUGUUCGCCCAUUAAAGUGGUACGCGAGCUGGGUUCAGAACGUCGUGAGACAGUUCGGUCCCUAUCCGUCGCCGGCGUAGGAAAUUUGAGAAGACCUGUCCUUAGUACGAGAGGACCGGGAUGGACGUACCUCUGGUGUACCA